Molecule: ribosomal RNA, 482 nt
Filed under: uncultured bacterium
Lineage: Bacteria
Description: partial 16S ribosomal RNA
Rfam family: Bacterial small subunit ribosomal RNA
Source: RNAcentral
GAUGAACGCUAGCGGCAGGCCUAAUACAUGCAAGUCGGACGGGAUUCAGGAGCUUGCUUCUGAUGAGAGUGGCGCACGGGUGCGUAACACGUAUGUAACCUACCUUUAUCAGGGGGAUAGCCUCUCGAAAGAGAGAUUAAGCCCGCAUAAAAUCACAGCACAGCAUUGUGUAAUGAUCAAAUAUUUAUAGGAUAAAGAUGGGCAUGUGGAACAUUAGCUAGAUGGCGGGGUAACGGCCCACCAUGGCGACGAUGUUUAGGGGAUCUGAGAGGAUGGCCCCCCACACUGGUACUGAGACACGGACCAGACUCCUACGGGAGGCAGCAGUAAGGAAUAUUGGUCAAUGGGCGGAAGCCUGAACCAGCCAUGCCGCGUGCAGGAAGACGGCCCUACGGGUUGUAAACUGCUUUUAUACGGGAAUAAACCCAGAUACGUGUAUCUGGCUGAAUGUACUGUAAGAAUAAGGAUCGGCUAACUCCGUG